RNAcentral lists this small RNA (92 nucleotides) under Salmonella enterica subsp. enterica serovar Heidelberg. RNAcentral's name for it is "partial RtT sRNA". It matches the Rfam family "RtT RNA", at positions 1 to 91 of the family's 130-position model. From Rfam's summary of the family: This family represents a bacterial cis-regulatory element known as RtT RNA. RNAcentral also lists the same sequence under 3 other names. Lineage: Bacteria; Pseudomonadati; Pseudomonadota; Gammaproteobacteria; Enterobacterales; Enterobacteriaceae. The record is from RNAcentral.
AUAUCUCUCUGUACGGGAAGGAUGAGAAGCUUCUACCAGGGUUCGAUUCGAGCGCAGCGAGAAAGCGUUGCCGCAGGCAACGACCCGAAGGG